GAUGAACGCUGGCGGCGUGCCUAAUACAUGCAAGUCGAGCGAACAGAUGAGGAGCUUGCUCCUCUGACGUUAGCGGCGGACGGGUGAGUAACACGUGGAUAACCUACCUAUAAGACUGGUAUAACUUCGGGAAACCGGAGCUAAUACCGGAUAAUAUAUUGAACCGCAGGGUGCAAUAGUGAAAGACGGCUUUGCGGUCUCUUAUAGCUGGAUCUGGGCCGCAUUAGCUAGUUGGUAAGGUAAUGGCCUACCAAGGCAAGGAUGCGUAGCCGACCUGAGAGGGUGAUCGGCCACACUGGAACUGAGACACGGUCCAGACUCCUACGGGAGGCAGCAGUAGGGAAUCUGACGCAAUGGGCGGAAGCAUGACGGAGCAACGCGGCGUGAGUGAUGAAGGUGUUCGGUGCGUAAAACUCUGUUAUUAGGGAAAAACAAAUGUGUAAGUAACUAUGCACGUCGUGACGGUACCGAGUCAGAAAGCCACGGCUAACUACGUG
This 497-nucleotide ribosomal RNA is filed under the name uncultured bacterium. Its description in RNAcentral is "partial 16S ribosomal RNA". It matches the Rfam family "Bacterial small subunit ribosomal RNA", at positions 28 to 507 of the family's 1533-position model. The record is from RNAcentral.